UACGUAGGGUGCGAGCGUUAAUCGGAAUUACUGGGCGUAAAGCGUGCGCAGGCGGUCGUGCAAGACAGGUGUGAAAUCCCCGGGCCUAACCUGGGAACUGCAUUUGUGACUGCAUGGCUAGAGUUUGUCAGAGGGGGGUGGAAUUCCACGUGUAGCAGUGAAAUGCGUAGAUAUGUGGAGGAACACCGAUGGCGAAGGCAGCCCCCUGGGAUGUGACUGACGCUCAUGUACGAAAGCGUGGGGAGCAAACAGG
This 253-nucleotide ribosomal RNA is filed under the name uncultured bacterium. RNAcentral's name for it is "partial 16S ribosomal RNA". It matches the Rfam family "Bacterial small subunit ribosomal RNA", at positions 524 to 776 of the family's 1533-position model. The record is from RNAcentral.